Molecule: ribosomal RNA, 793 nt
Filed under: uncultured bacterium
Lineage: Bacteria
Description: bacterial SSU rRNA
Rfam family: Bacterial small subunit ribosomal RNA
Source: RNAcentral
AGAGUUUGAUCAUGGCUCAGAUUGAACGCUGGCGGCGUGCCUAACACAUGCAAGUCGAGCGGUAACAGGUGUAGCAAUACAUGCUGACGGGCGGCGAACGGGUGAGUAAUGCUUCGGAAUCUACCCUCUAGUGGGGAAUAACCAGCCGAAAGGUUGGCUAAUACCGCAUACGUCCUACGGGAGAAAGCAGGGGAUCGUAAGACCUUGCGCUGAUGGAUGAGCCGAAGUCGGAUUAGCUAGUUGGUGAGGUAACGGCUCACCAAGGCGACGAUCCGUAGCUGGUCUGAGAGGACGACCAGCCACACUGGAACUGAGACACGGUCCAGACUCCUACGGGAGGCAGCAGUGGGGAAUAUUGGACAAUGGGGGAAACCCUGAUCCAGCGACGCCGCGUGUGUGAAGGAGGCCUGCGGGUUGUAAAGCACUUUUAGUGGGGAUGAAAUGUGCAGAGCUAAUAUCUCUGCAUUUUGACCUAACCCACAGAAAAAGCACCGGCUAACUCUGUGCCAGCAGCCGCGGUAAUACAGAGGGUGCAAGCGUUAAUCGGAAUUACUGGGCGUAAAGCGUGCGCAGACGGUUACAUAAGUCGGGUGUGAAAGCCCCGGGCUCAACCUGGGAAUUGCAUUCGAGACUGUGUAGCUAGGGUACGGAAGAGGGAAGCGGAAUUUCAGGUGUAGCGGUGAAAUGCGUAGAUAUCUGAAGGAACACCAGUGGCGAAAGCGGCUUCCUGGUCCAGUACCGACGUUCAGGCACGAAAGCGUGGNNGAAACAGGAUUAGAUACCCUAGUAGUCC